This 2131-nucleotide ribosomal RNA is filed under the name Salmonella enterica. RNAcentral's name for it is "partial 23S ribosomal RNA". It matches the Rfam family "Bacterial large subunit ribosomal RNA", at positions 690 to 2802 of the family's 2925-position model. Lineage: Bacteria; Pseudomonadati; Pseudomonadota; Gammaproteobacteria; Enterobacterales; Enterobacteriaceae. The record is from RNAcentral. RNAcentral also lists the same sequence under 1 other name.
GGGCGUUAAGUUGCAGGGUAUAGACCCGAAACCCGGUGAUCUAGCCAUGGGCAGGUUGAAGGUUGGGUAACACUAACUGGAGGACCGAACCGACUAAUGUUGAAAAAUUAGCGGAUGACCUGUGGCUGGGGGUGAAAGGCCAAUCAAACCGGGAGAUAGCUGGUUCUCCCCGAAAGCUAUUUAGGUAGCGCCUCGUGAAUUCAUCUCCGGGGGUAGAGCACUGUUUCGGCUAGGGGGCCAUCCCGGCUUACCAACCCGAUGCAAACUGCGAAUACCGGAGAAUGUUAUCACGGGAGACACACGGCGGGUGCUAACGUCCGUCGUGAAGAGGGAAACAACCCAGACCGCCAGCUAAGGUCCCAAAGUCAUGGUUAAGUGGGAAACGAUGUGGGAAGGCCCAGACAGCCAGGAUGUUGGCUUAGAAGCAGCCAUCAUUUAAAGAAAGCGUAAUAGCUCACUGGUCGAGUCGGCCUGCGCGGAAGAUGUAACGGGGCUAAACCAUGCACCGAAGCUGCGGCAGCGACACUGUGUGUUGUUGGGUAGGGGAGCGUUCUGUAAGCCUGUGAAGGUGUGUCGUGAGGCAUGCUGGAGGUAUCAGAAGUGCGAAUGCUGACAUAAGUAACGAUAAAGCGGGUGAAAAGCCCGCUCGCCGGAAGACCAAGGGUUCCUGUCCAACGUUAAUCGGGGCAGGGUGAGUCGACCCCUAAGGCGAGGCCGAAAGGCGUAGUCGAUGGGAAACGGGUUAAUAUUCCCGUACUUGGUGUUACUGCGAAGGGGGGACGGAGAAGGCUAUGUUGGCCGGGCGACGGUUGUCCCGGUUUAAGCGUGUAGGUGUGUGUUCCAGGUAAAUCCGGUUCACUUUAACACUGAGGCGUGACGACGAGGCACUACGGUGCUGAAGCAACAAAUGCCCUGCUUCCAGGAAAAGCCUCUAAGCAUCAGGUAACAUCAAAUCGUACCCCAAACCGACACAGGUGGUCAGGUAGAGAAUACCAAGGCGCUUGAGAGAACUCGGGUGAAGGAACUAGGCAAAAUGGUGCCGUAACUUCGGGAGAAGGCACGCUGACACGUAGGUGAAGUGAUUUACUCAUGGAGCUGAAGUCAGUCGAAGAUACCAGCUGGCUGCAACUGUUUAUUAAAAACACAGCACUGUGCAAACACGAAAGUGGACGUAUACGGUGUGACGCCUGCCCGGUGCCGGAAGGUUAAUUGAUGGGGUCAGCGCAAGCGAAGCUCCUGAUCGAAGCCCCGGUAAACGGCGGCCGUAACUAUAACGGUCCUAAGGUAGCGAAAUUCCUUGUCGGGUAAGUUCCGACCUGCACGAAUGGCGUAAUGAUGGCCAGGCUGUCUCCACCCGAGACUCAGUGAAAUUGAACUCGCUGUGAAGAUGCAGUGUACCCGCGGCAAGACGGAAAGACCCCGUGAACCUUUACUAUAGCUUGACACUGAACAUUGAGCCUUGAUGUGUAGGAUAGGUGGGAGGCUUUGAAGUGUGGACGCCAGUCUGCAUGGAGCCGACCUUGAAAUACCACCCUUUAAUGUUUGAUGUUCUAACGUGGACCCGUUACCCGGGUUGCGGACAGUGUCUGGUGGGUAGUUUGACUGGGGCGGUCUCCUCCUAAAGAGUAACGGAGGAGCACGAAGGUUGGCUAAUCCUGGUCGGACAUCAGGAGGUUAGUGCAAUGGCAUAAGCCAGCUUGACUGCGAGCGUGACGGCGCGAGCAGGUGCGAAAGCAGGUCAUAGUGAUCCGGUGGUUCUGAAUGGAAGGGCCAUCGCUCAACGGAUAAAAGGUACUCCGGGGAUAACAGGCUGAUACCGCCCAAGAGUUCAUAUCGACGGCGGUGUUUGGCACCUCGAUGUCGGCUCAUCACAUCCUGGGGCUGAAGUAGGUCCCAAGGGUAUGGCUGUUCGCCAUUUAAAGUGGUACGCGAGCUGGGUUUAGAACGUCGUGAGACAGUUCGGUCCCUAUCUGCCGUGGGCGCUGGAGAACUGAGGGGGGCUGCUCCUAGUACGAGAGGACCGGAGUGGACGCAUCACUGGUGUUCGGGUUGUCAUGCCAAUGGCACUGCCCGGUAGCUAAAUGCGGAAGAGAUAAGUGCUGAAAGCAUCUAAGCACGAAACUUGCCCCGA